ACCGGCGCACGGGUGCGUAACGCGUAUGCACCUACCUUAUACAGAGGGAUAGCCCAGAGAAAUUUGGAUUAAUACCUCAUAGUAAGGCAUCUGUAAAGAUUUAUCGGUAUAAGAUGGGCAUGCGUAAGAUUAGUUAGUUGGUGAGGUAACGGCUCACCAAGACUUCGAUCUUUAGGGGUUCUGAGAGGAUGAUCCCCCACACUGGUACUGAGAUACGGACCAGACUUCUACGGGAGGCAGCAGUAGGGAAUAUUGGUCAAUGGGCGAGAGCCUGAACCAGCCAUGCCGCGUGCAGGAAGACGGCCUUCGGGUUGUAAACUGCUUUUAUAUGGGAAGAAAACGGCCUUGCGAGGCAGAUUGACGGUACCAUAUGAAUAAGCACCGGCUAACUCCGUGCCAGCAGCCGCGGUAAUACGGAGGGUGCAAGCGUUGUCCGGAUUUAUUGGGUUUAAAGGGUACGUAGGCGGCCAAUUAAGUCAGUGGUGAAAGCCAGCAGCUCAACUGUUGAACUGCCAUUGAUACUGAUUGGCUCGAGUUCUGUUAAGGUAGGCGGAAUUGAUGGUGUAGCGGUGAAAUGCAUAGAUACCAUCAGAACACCGAUUGCGAACGCAGCUUACUAGGCAGAACUGACGCUAUGUACGAAAGGGUGGGGAUCGGACCAGAAUAGAUACCUGGGUAGUCCACCCGGA
RNAcentral lists this ribosomal RNA (689 nucleotides) under uncultured bacterium. Its description in RNAcentral is "bacterial SSU rRNA". It matches the Rfam family "Bacterial small subunit ribosomal RNA", at positions 94 to 803 of the family's 1533-position model. The record is from RNAcentral.